AUGUUGAUGCCCAAGAAGAAUCGGAUCGCCAUCUACGAGCUCCUCUUUAAGGAGGGCGUGAUGGUCGCGCCAAGAAGGACGUCCACAUGCCCAAACACCCGGAGCUGGCGGACAAGAACGCGCCCAACCUUCACGUCAUGAAGGCCAUGCAGUCUCUCAAGUCUCGGGGCUACGUGAAGGAGCAGUUUGCUUGGAGACACUUCUACUGGUACCUCACGAACGAGGGCAUCCAAUAUCUACGAGAUUACCUGCACCUACCUCUGGAGAUCGUGCCCGCCACCCUGCGCCGCAGCCGUCCCGAGACUGGCAGGCCACGGCCAAAAGGUCCAGAGGGUGAGCGGCCUGCAAGAUUCACAAGAGGGGAGGCGGACAGAGACACCUACAGAAGGAGCGCUGUGCCACCUGGAGCUGACAAGAAAGCUGAGGCUGGGGCUGGUUCAGCAACUGAAUUCCCAUUUAGAGGCGGCUUCGGUCGUGGGCGUGGUCAGCCACCCCAGUGAUUUUGGAGACUGUUGUAUUGAAUAAACUUUAAAGAAAAAAAAAAAA
RNA transcript from Mastomys coucha (southern multimammate mouse), 546 nucleotides. It is a transcript of the gene named 40S ribosomal protein S10 pseudogene, with no coding region annotated. NCBI's taxonomy places the organism in Eukaryota, Metazoa, Chordata, Mammalia, Rodentia, Muridae. The record is from RefSeq and is a predicted model, not a curated record. The transcript has a single exon.